This 93-nucleotide transfer RNA is filed under the name bacterium. RNAcentral's name for it is "tRNA-Leu". The record is from RNAcentral.
GGCGGGUAUUGCCUGUGGGUACAGGACCGGGCCUGAGAAACUCGGAGCCGGGAGGAGUGCCUCCUGGUUGCGGUUCGACUCCGCUGCCCGCCG